GUGGGGAAUUUUGGACAAUGGGCGCAAGCCUGAUCCAGCAAUGCCGCGUGCAGGAAGAAGGCCUUCGGGUUGUAAACUGCUUUUGUACGGAACGAAACGGUCCUGGCUAAUAUCCGGGGCUAAUGACGGUACCGUAAGAAUAAGCACCGGCUAACUACGUGCCAGCAGCCGCGGUAAUACGUAGGGUGCGAGCGUUAAUCGGAAUUACUGGGCGUAAAGCGUGCGCAGGCGGUGCUGUAAGACAGGCGUGAAAUCCCCGGGCUCAACCUGGGAAUUGCGCUUGUGACUGCAGUGCUGGAGUGCGGCAGAGGGGGAUGGAAGUCCGCGUGUAGCAGUGAAAUGCGUAGAUAUGCGGAGGAACACCGAUGGCGAAGGCAAUCCCCUGGGCCUGCACUGACGCUCAUGCACGAAAGCGUGGGGAGCAAACAGGAUUAGAAACCCGGGUAGUCC
RNAcentral lists this ribosomal RNA (450 nucleotides) under uncultured bacterium. RNAcentral's name for it is "partial 16S ribosomal RNA". It matches the Rfam family "Bacterial small subunit ribosomal RNA", at positions 354 to 796 of the family's 1533-position model. The record is from RNAcentral.